UACGUAGGAGGCAAGCGUUGUCCGGAAUCACUGGGCGUAAAGAGCGUGUAGGCGGCCAGGUAGGUCGGUUGUGAAAACUGGAGGCUCAACCUUCAGAGGUCGACCGAAACCAUCUGGCUAGAGUCCGGGAGAGGAGAGUGGAAUUCCUGGUGUAGCGGUGAAAUGCGCAGAUAUCAGGAAGAACACCCGUGGCGAAAGCGGCUCUCUGGAACGGUACUGACGCUGAGACGCGAAAGCGUGGGGAGCGAACAGG
This 253-nucleotide ribosomal RNA is filed under the name uncultured bacterium. Its description in RNAcentral is "partial 16S ribosomal RNA". It matches the Rfam family "Bacterial small subunit ribosomal RNA", at positions 524 to 776 of the family's 1533-position model. The record is from RNAcentral.